GAUGAACGCUGGCGGCGUGCCUAAUACAUGCAAGUCGAGCGAACAGACGAGGAGCUUGCUCCUCUGACGUUAGCGGCGGACGGGUGAGUCACACGUGGAUAACCUACCUAUAAGACUGGGAUAACUUCGGGAAACCGGAGCUAAUACCGGAUAAUAUAUUGAACCGCAUGGUUCAAUAGUGAAAGUCGGUUUUUCUGUCACUUAUAGAUGGAUCCGCGCCGCAUUAGCUAGUUGGUAAGGUAACGGCUUACCAAGGCAACCAUGCGUAGCCGACCUGAGAGAGUGAUCGGCCACACUGGAACUGAGACACGGUCCAGACUCCUACGGGAGGCAGCAGUAGGGAAUCGUCCGCAAUGGGCGAAAGUCUGACGGAGCAACGCCGCGUGAGUGAUGAAGGUCUUCGGAUCGUAAAACUCUGUUAUUAGGGAAAAACAAAUGUGUAAGUAACUAUGCACGUCUUGACGGUACCUGAUCAGAAAGCCACGGCUAACUACGUG
This 497-nucleotide ribosomal RNA is filed under the name uncultured bacterium. Its description in RNAcentral is "partial 16S ribosomal RNA". It matches the Rfam family "Bacterial small subunit ribosomal RNA", at positions 28 to 507 of the family's 1533-position model. The record is from RNAcentral.